Molecule: non-coding RNA, 365 nt
Organism: Oceanobacillus picturae
Lineage: Bacteria; Bacillati; Bacillota; Bacilli; Caryophanales; Bacillaceae
Rfam family: transfer-messenger RNA
About the family: Bacterial tmRNA, also known as 10Sa RNA or SsrA, is named for its dual tRNA and mRNA-like properties. Its role is to liberate the mRNA from a stalled ribosome.
Source: Rfam
GGGGACGUUACGGAUUCGACAGGGAUAGAUUGAGCUCAGGUCGCAUGUCGAGGUUACGGCUCGUAAAACGUUACUCGCCUAAAUAUAACUGGCAAAUUUAACAACAACACUGCUUUAGCAGCUGCGUAAGCACUGCUAAGCGAUCCUUCCUGCUAUCGCCCGUGUGGCAGAUUGAAGGGUCUCAACUGAAACGGGCUAUACGUUCAUCCACCGUCUGAGGAUGACCGUUGAAACCAAUCAGACUAGCUGCACAAAAGCCUGUUGGUAGGCUGAUGUGACAGUGAAUGAUAAUAUACCAACUAAGCGUGUAGAAGCCUGAGUGGCAAUGUCUCUGGACGAGGGUUCGACUCCCUCCGUCUCCACUU